UGCAUAGCCGUAAACCCGACAGCCCAAUACAUUGGCUGUCCGCCCGGGUACUACAAGCACGAGCUUUAAACCCAAAGGACUUGACGGUGCUUUACAUCCCCCUAGAGGAGCCUGUCCUAGAACCGAUAACCCCCGUUAAACCUCACCUUUCCUUGCUCGUACCGCCUAUAUACCGCCGUCUCCAGCCUACCCUGUAAAGGACUCAUAGUAGGCAAAAUUGGCAUACCCCAGAACGCCAGGUCGAGGUGUAGCGUAUGGAAAGGGAAGAGAUGGGCUACAUUCAAUGAACCAAUGAAUACGAAUGAUUAAUUGAAACAUUAAUUUAAAGGAGGAUUUAGUAGUAAGUCGGGAAUAGAGAGCCCCACUGAAACCGGCCCUGAAGCG
RNAcentral lists this ribosomal RNA (384 nucleotides) under Sparisoma chrysopterum (redtail parrotfish). Its description in RNAcentral is "partial 12S ribosomal RNA". It matches the Rfam family "Bacterial small subunit ribosomal RNA", at positions 793 to 1381 of the family's 1533-position model. The record is from RNAcentral. Lineage: Eukaryota; Metazoa; Chordata; Actinopteri; Labriformes; Labridae.